GGUUGACCUAGUUCAGCCCGCAUAAGGAGGCUUAAAGCUGUGCCUAGGACCCCAGCUCAGGCACCGAACAACAGAUAAUUUCACUGUCCUUUCCCUCUCAUUGGGAGUGAAAUAGAAUUCCUUCCUUUAGUAAUGUUCAGCUUGGCCAUGUGACUCACUUUGGCUAAUAGAAGGUAAUGAUGUUGCUACAAGCAGAGACAUGGCUUGGAUCCUAUUAUGAUCUUACGGUUUACCAGGAGAGGAAUAUAUCCUAGAUUGUCUGAACCUCACAAUGGAACAUGAAGAGACCAUUUGCCUUGUAGGUGCGGGUUCAAGGAAGAUGAGACAAAUAUGGAAUAAGCUUGUAUCCAUUCCUGGAGCCUGGAGCCUGGAGCCUGGGGCCCAGAUACUGAAGCCUUGAGUCUAAUUUAGUCCAGCUGAUUUUCAGCUAACCCUCGCACACAUAAACAUGAGAAUAAAUGAGUUUUCUUUCAACUCAAAAUAA
This 484-nucleotide long non-coding RNA is filed under the name Homo sapiens (human). Its description in RNAcentral is "HSALNT0306638". Lineage: Eukaryota; Metazoa; Chordata; Mammalia; Primates; Hominidae. The record is from RNAcentral.